This 1777-nucleotide long non-coding RNA is filed under the name Arachis ipaensis. RNAcentral describes it as "long non-coding RNA (AIPA_LNC001254)". The record is from RNAcentral. Lineage: Eukaryota; Viridiplantae; Streptophyta; Magnoliopsida; Fabales; Fabaceae.
GUGGUUCAACCGGAUAAAUCGUUUUAGAAUAGAAUAAUAAAUAAAUUAUAAGGUGCUUUAUACAGGUAAGCUUAUUAGAAAUAUGCAGAACUCUAAAAACAUGAGAAAGUACCAGUUGAAAGCUUCUAAUUACAAUUGUUACCAAAUAUAUAUGUCCUUUAUGUAAGGUUAAAUUUGAAUGGAAAAGCAUCUUAUGUGCAAUACAUCAUAGAGGUCACAUUCAAUAAUUUUAUUGACUUGAAGCUCAUUAAAAAAUCAAAUAAAAAUUAAAACUCCUUGAUUCUUUGGCAACCAAAUGAUUGAAAAGAUAAGUGAACAUAGACCAAAUGUGCAGGGGUUGAGCACUAACAUUUCAAAAAAAUUAGCAAUACUCAACAUCUAAAACAGAGAGAACAAUUGUACAAAAAUAGAUAUUAACAGUUUAUAAUUUGUGGGAAUUAACUUAAUAUUCUAUAGUUUCUUUCUUCUCCUUUUAGUUUCUUUUUUUCAAUGGAAACAAGAUUUAACAAUAAAAAUUCAAUAAUAAAAAUUCCAUCAUUCAUUUUAAUCAGUUCAAAACAAGAUACAACUUAGCUAAAUUUAACUAAAAAAUUUAAUAAAUAAUUCAGUUCAAUACAACAGAGAAGACUUAAUCAUUCAGAUAAAAGCUCAUGCUUUAGUAUCAUUUUAACAUAAAUUAACAAAGAAUUAUCAAAGUUUAAGCAUAAUUUUUUUUCAAUACAGCAUAAAAAAACAAUCAAAUAGAGUACAGCCCAGCAGUAGCAGUAGAGUUAAUCAUUCAACAAUAGCAUUAACCAUGUUCUUAACCUAAAGCAGGAGCCAAACACAAUGAAAAUUAACAGCAUGUUCUUAACCACAACACAAGACCAUAUCUGCCUACAGCAUUCAGCCAUUCAACACAACACAAUUUUGCCUAGUGCCUACAACAUUCAGCCAUUCAACACAACACAAUUCUGCCUACAAUUAGAUAACCCCAAUCAUAAACAUCAUUACCAAAUUAAAUAAAAAAUCAACCAAAAAUCACCUUGCAAAUCAAAAACUCAAUCUCUUGAACUCAAUAAUUACAUCAGUUAUCCAACUAAAUAAUUGCAUCACAGUUAUCAUAAACUGAUUUCAAAGCCUAGAAGCAGUAAGCAAAACCAAUCACAAAGCACUGACUGAGUAUUCUAUUCUGAUUCUGUGACUGGGAAGCAACAAAUUCAAGUUACAGCAACAAAUUCAACAAAUCCAAGUAAAGUUCCGAUUUACAGCAACAUUUAGAUUAGCAACAAGGCAAAUUUGAUUAGCAAUUCAGCAACAUACAAAAAUACAGGGAGAAGGGAAAUCUGAAAAGAGAGAACAGGGAAGCGAUGGUGCAGGGACUCACCAACGAUCGACGGCGAGUCGGCGACCACCCCACGAGUUGCUUCUACCGCCGGCGACGAGACAGAUGAACCACGAGAUGCCAGUGACUGAGACGAGACUCGAGUGAGGCUGGGAGGCAGAAUCGAGCAGAGACAACCACGGACGACGAGCAGCAACCAACACGGACAGCUCGAGCACUCACUGGCGGAGGGAGGCGCAAGCAGCCGAGCACAGAGGAGAACGGCGAGAUGCGAGCACCCGACGUGGAGGAUCCGGCGAGAGGCCCGAGAGCACGAAGACGGAAGUUCUUGAGUGCGAUGGACGGUGGCAGCAGUCUCUCACUCCGACAGACGGCGACAACUAUUGGUGGAGGCUAGGGUUUGCUUUCUUUGGUGGAGGCUAGGGUUUGAUGAAGGAAGGAGUUGGAGAAGGG